UGCAUGUUUUCCCCUUACUUCUGACUUCUAAAUCCUUUUGUUGACUGGAUUAUUUUUCUUUGCCAGAUUUUCAGCUGAUUUAUGCUCUUCCGAGAGGUCCCAACACAUCCUCCACCUUUCCUCGGCUUUGGGAGCACAUGCUUAACCUGUAAUCAGCAUGACUCAAAACAGCAUCUGUCUCUGGAGCAAAAAGAAAUAAUGAUGUGCUCUGUUCUGCUGCUCCCUGUUCAAAGGGGGAUCAUACUGGGAGGCAAGAGUUGCUGA
RNAcentral lists this long non-coding RNA (264 nucleotides) under Apteryx rowi (Okarito brown kiwi). RNAcentral's name for it is "lncRNA (ENSARWG00000000516.1)". The record is from RNAcentral. Lineage: Eukaryota; Metazoa; Chordata; Aves; Apterygiformes; Apterygidae.